UAAGUAUGCACCUCUUGCGAAAUGAAAUUUCCUAUACAAAACCUAUGCAUAAAAAACGUCGCGAAAUGCUCGCGAAAAAAAUUUUCGUUUCCAUUUCGUAAGCGGUACGCAGCUCUCGCGAAAACGAUAACGAAAAAUGCAGUUAGCCGAGACACGGUUCGACAAACGAUAAGUUUCAUAAUACUUCCGCGAGAUAGCGCUGCUUUCUAUGCGCUGUCACCAAGGCAAACUUUUUCCUUGCGAAAUAAUGGUCAAUGGUAUUAUUUCGCACGGAGGCUCGCGAAAUUUUGACAGGUUGCAUUGAAAAAAUAUAAAAAAAACAAAAGAUUAGUAAUUUUUUGUAUUUUUUUUUCAUCGCGGCCUGUCAAAAUUUUGUAGUUUUGAGAAUCAAUAUUUUGAAUUUGAAUGCACACCCGAACAAAGCAGCCACAAGAGCAGCAUUUUUCGUCACCAGCCAUCUAUCUACUUGAUAAGUUUUCAACAACAACAACCAGGUGCUACAAAUCAGCUCAACUUGACUCAACAUCCUGGAUCUGGCAAUCAGCCAACCAACAUUAAAUCGAUACAACCGUAGCAGUACCAACAACUCCAAAUCCAGCAGCUGCCAACAAUCUCUCAAAAAAGAACCACAGCAAUUACAGCUCAGAACCAACAAAGCAACAAGAGCUUUUUUAAGAAUAAUGGACCCAUCGGAAACACUUUAUCGGCACAUUCUGUCGUAAAACUUGCCUGCCACUAUUCUUACCAGCGGUUACCUUCCUGAUGUAGAGAAAUCAGAGUCAAACACAAACGUCAUAUUACUGCCUUGGCUCCUACCAGUUGCUUGCAUGAAAAUAUCGCUGCCUCCACAGUGCUCGUGAUUUCAUCCCAGCAGCAGCUAGCAACCACAAUUCCAGUGCUUAUCGCCAGCAACAUCAGAAAAUUAAGAUUUCCCCUAGACCAUGACCAUCAUCCGACAGAUCGGUAGCAACGUUCAACUGACGGUACAACCUGGCCAGCAACCGCAAGUAGUGCAAUCGAUCCAAGCCAAUCAGGGCCAAAUGUAGAAGACCAUUGGUCAACUGCAAAAAAAAGAUGCAUCAACAGCACCUUCAAACACAGUAGCAGCAGCAUACUGUACUGUACCACGCCGCGUGCAGGACUUUUUUUUAUUCAGUUGGUGCAGCAAGAUCGAACAGCAACCAUAGCGGAUACACAUCACCGAACACCAGCAACAUAAUGCCAUGGUAACCACCCAGCAGCAGAGCACGGCGAUAAUGGGCCAACAGUAAAUACAACAUCAAGAUCCUCGGAAAGGACUUUCUCUUUCGAACAAACAUAAUGGAAGCAUACUCUACACGCGCGACAUAUUCAAUCGGGCCAACCGUGUGACUCGUUUGGCAAAAAGGGCUCAUCAUCGGUUUCAUGGCAGCGAAGUGAGCAGACAAAAGAAGGCGUUUUUUCCGAAUGGUCGCUCUGGGCAAAAGUUCAGCUAAUUGCAAGGAACAAACCACCGGAGUGACAGUAUCCGUGCUGAUUCAGGACCUUUUUCCAUAUAUUGUAGCUUUUGAAUUUUAAUACCCGAUCGAAACGAUGGCAAGUGCUGCCGAUAACUGGGUCAAAAAGGCGGAAGGAGGAUCAGGAAAUUUCUGCACUCGGUUUUGAAUUCUUCUUUUCAAUACAAAUAGGUUGUCGAUCUGAGUAUCCCUAAGGAUAAGAAACCAGAGCCGACGGCUGACAGCCCAAAGAAAGAGAAUGCGGAAAAACCUAGUUCACCGCCAGUAGAACCAGCGAUCAAAUUACUCCGGUAGAAACGGCUGCACCUGCAGUUUUGUUUUCGGUAGCUACAGAAAUUAAGACUUUAGCAGCUCCUGAAGAAAAAAAAGCUGCUAGCGAAAAUGGAGAAACAGCUUCCUCCACGGAAGAUGCAGAGGCAUUCAACCCGGCGGAUGCAAGUUUGCUAAUUAAACUUAUUCGCAAAGGUCUAGUAGAAUCAAAGCUGGAUCUGGGGGUGAAGGAUCCUUCUUCGCCGCUAUACUUGGUUAAAACUUUCGAAGCUUUGCACAUGAAUUCGGAACUGCUUCUAUGCUAUGGGUUUCAACGCUCCUUCCAAGAUUCAGAAGACGGCUCAACCUACUCUGUUGGCCGAUCUACCACAGAACAUAAUCGCCCAGAGUUGGUCGAGAACAAGAAAAACCACUGCCUUCGUGCUGGCAAUGCUCAAUCGAGUCAAUCCGUUGAAAAACUAUCCGCAGGUGAUUUGCCUUUCCCCACGUAUGAACUGGCAAUUCAGAAGGGGAAAGUAGCUGCAAAACGGCAAAGUUUUGUGCGGAAAUCGAACUUGGUUAAACCGUUCGCGGUGAGAAGAUCGUCAAAGGGUCGAAGCUGACUAAUCAUAUCAUCAUCGGAACAGCCGGGCGUUCGACCUUAAGAAGAUUGCCAUUUUUGUAAUGGACGAGGCGGGCGUUAUGAUCGCUGUUCUUUUUAGCAACGUACGAGCGGGAGGUGAUGGGAUUCGUCCAGUACAUCGUAACCAAUCCGAUCAUGAUUCUUCUGGUGCGGGAGCAAGAAUCACUCGAUAACACCAAACACUACUACGUCAAAUGCCGCAACCAGGACGAGAAAUAUCAAGCAAUUUCAAACAUGUACGGUGUGAUUACCGUCGGACAAGCGAUCAUUUUCUGUCAUAUGAUGUAUAGGACAGUUGUAAACUCCAAGUAAACUUAUUUUCGGCAUUGUUACUCGAUCGAAACAGGCACGCAAAACGGCCGGUUGGUUGACCGGCAGGAUGUCCCAGGAUGGUCAUUCGGUAGCGGUACUGUCCGGUGAUCUAACGGUGGAGCAACGGUUGGAACGAACGUUUUGCCCAGGGGUAUCGACGUCGAACAGGUUACCAUUGUCGUCAACUUCGACCUGCCGAUGGAUUAGCAGGGACGAGCCGAUUGCGAAACGUAUCUACAUCGAAUUAGACGCACCGGUAGAUUCAGUAAGUGUGUCAUUCUUGUGAUCCUAUAGAUUGUAUUUCUUCCCACUUCUUUAACAGAACGGAAUCACCAUCAACCUAGUGGGUAGUGAUCGAAGCAUGAUGAUUUGCAGAUCAAUGUAAAAACACUUCCGGAAAAAGAUUCAGUUGCUAGACGCGGAGAACUCGGACAAAAUUUAAAAGAUCGCACCGUAAAAUGUUUUCGACCAGCUACUGGUGAAAGGCGUAGGAGCUUUUUUGGGUCAUACUUGUUUUGAUUCUGAAUUUAUAAUUUUAUUAUAUUUUAAUUUUUUUUUCUUCCUUGACCUGACAUAAGGUAUACAAAUGUAACCAAAGGGUAUCGUAAGCUAAUAAAUUUACAAUUACAAUUACAAUUUAUCUGUACCCAGUUCUAUCCAAACAUUUGAAAAGGGCCUAACUGCAAAAUGUAACAAAUUGAAAUUUCAUGUUUUCCAUUAACGAAUAUCUACCCGAGCACGUACAUAACGCAACAUUUGAUUAUGAAGAAUUUUGAUAGCGAUUUUACAACAAUUUAUAAAAGGGCCUAAUUGAUUUUUAUGACCGAACUGAUUAUGAAAGGACCUAGCUGAUUGAAAAGUGCCUAACUAGCAAUACACUCGUUUUAAAUGGAUUAUAACGUAUUAUUGUAUUAUGACUGAUUGUAAAAGGCUUAUAACAUAUUUUCCAUAAUUUACAUACAGUGCCAAUCUGAUUUUAUGAUGUUCAGUGGGGUCAAUCUGACCAUCAAUUUAGAAUUCAGUUAAUUCGUCUAACUUUCGGUGUAAUAUCAGACUUGAACAGCAUUUUUUGUGUGAGGUAUUCUGCCGCUAGAAGCAAAACUGUCCCAUGUGCUAUGGGAAUCCCUAUACACAUGGGACAAUUAUACUUCUUGCGGCAGUAAUACAAGUAGUAGCAAUACGCACAAUUCCUUAAACCUCUCUAGUGUUUCAUGCAAUAAGAAUUACCACGAAUUACUUAUGGCAAUAAAUUUGAAUUACGAUUCUCACAAUUGUUAUACCAAAAAUAGGUUUGUAUCCGUACUGAUUUUUGGUAGCAUUCCCUGAGACUUCCAGAACCUUUAGUAGUAGCACAGAUAACAGACGUUUAGGCUCGAUUUGAAUCGUGUGUAAAUACCCGCUGCUGAAAUUCCGAAUAAAUCAGACAUCUGAAACAUGUUUGGCAAACGUUUGCAGAUGGCGCAGUGAUCACUACAAUGCAGUUAGAGUGCAGCUGUCGAACACGUGUAGCAAACAGUUGCGCAAAUGGCAAUAGUGAAACACGGAUUUUCAACGUAUAUCAAUUUGAAAGUUUACACAGGUUUUUGAAGAAAUUUUGUUCUAGCCUAAACGUCUGUUAUCUGUGGUAGUAGCCAUUGUUAUCAUAAUCGAUUUUUAACGUCAGCCAGAGUUUAAAGCCUAGGGUUUGGUUCGACCUGAAACCGAUUGAGUCGGAGUCGGUUGUUAUAUUUGCGUUAUAUUUCCGGAUUCCGAAACGUGUUU
Topomyia yanbarensis is the source of this 4461-nucleotide long non-coding RNA. RefSeq lists it as uncharacterized. Lineage: Eukaryota; Metazoa; Arthropoda; Insecta; Diptera; Culicidae. The record is from RefSeq and is a predicted model, not a curated record. The transcript has 7 exons.